This 253-nucleotide ribosomal RNA is filed under the name uncultured bacterium. Its description in RNAcentral is "partial 16S ribosomal RNA". It matches the Rfam family "Bacterial small subunit ribosomal RNA", at positions 524 to 776 of the family's 1533-position model. The record is from RNAcentral.
UACGAAGGGGGCUAGCGUUGCUCGGAAUCACUGGGCGUAAAGCGCACGUAGGCGGAUCUUUAAGUCAGAGGUGAAAUCCCAAGGCUCAACCUUGGAACUGCCUUUGAUACUGGGGAUCUCGAGUCCGGAAGAGGUGAGUGGAACUGCGAGUGUAGAGGUGAAAUUCGUAGAUAUUCGCAAGAACACCAGUGGCGAAAGCGGCUCACUGGUCCGGUACUGACGCUGAGGUGCGAAAGCGUGGGGAGCAAACAGG